UACGUAGGGGGCAAGCGUUGUCCGGAUUUAUUGGGCGUAAAGAGCGUGUAGGCGGCCAGGUAGGUCAGCUGUGAAAACUCGAGGCUCAACCUCGAGACGCCGGUUGAAACCAUCUGGCUAGAGUCCGGAAGAGGAGAGUGGAAUUCCUGGUGUAGCGGUGAAAUGCGCAGAUAUCAGGAGGAACACCAAUUGCGAAGGCAGCUCGCUGGGACGUAACUGACGCUGAGACGCGAAAGCGUGGGGAGCGAACAGG
This 253-nucleotide ribosomal RNA is filed under the name uncultured bacterium. Its description in RNAcentral is "partial 16S ribosomal RNA". It matches the Rfam family "Bacterial small subunit ribosomal RNA", at positions 524 to 776 of the family's 1533-position model. The record is from RNAcentral.